GAAAUGCGAUAAGUAAUGUGAAUUGCAGAAUUCAGUGAAUCAUCGAAUCUUUGAACGCACAUUGCGCCCGCCAGUAUUCUGGCGGGCAUGCCUGUUCGAGCGUCAUUUCAACCAUCUAGCCCCCGGCUUGUGUUGGGGACCUGCGGCUGCCCGCAGGCCCUGAAAAACAGUGGCGGGCUCGCUGUCACACCGAGCGUAGUAGCAUACAUUCUCGCUCAGGGCGUGCUGCGGGUUCCGGCCGUUAAACGACCUUCAUAACCCAAGGUUGACCUCGGAUCAGGUAGGAAGACCCGCUGAACUUAAGC
RNAcentral lists this unclassified non-coding RNA (305 nucleotides) under plant metagenome. RNAcentral's name for it is "partial contains 5.8S ribosomal RNA, internal transcribed spacer 2, and large subunit ribosomal RNA". The stretch from base 1 to 105 matches the Rfam family "5.8S ribosomal RNA", at positions 50 to 154 of the family's 154-position model. The record is from RNAcentral.